Molecule: ribosomal RNA, 305 nt
Filed under: uncultured bacterium
Lineage: Bacteria
Description: bacterial SSU rRNA
Rfam family: Bacterial small subunit ribosomal RNA
Source: RNAcentral
CCUACGGGAGGCAGCAGUGAGGAAUAUUGGUCAAUGGCCGGAAGGCUGAACCAGCCAAGCCGCGUGAGGGAGGAAGGCGCAGAUCGUCGCAGACCUCUUUUGCCGGGGGACAAAAGGCCGGACUCGUCCGGUCCUGAGGGUACCCGGAGAAAAAGCCCCGGCUAACUACGUGCCAGCAGCCGCGGUAAUACGUAGGGGGCAAGCGUUAUCCGGAAUUACUGGGUGUAAAGGGUGAGUAGGCGGCAUGGUAAGCCAGAUGUGAAAGCCUUGGGCUUAACCCGAGGUUUGCAUUUGGAACUAUCAAG